This 468-nucleotide ribosomal RNA is filed under the name uncultured bacterium. Its description in RNAcentral is "partial 16S ribosomal RNA". It matches the Rfam family "Bacterial small subunit ribosomal RNA", at positions 28 to 507 of the family's 1533-position model. The record is from RNAcentral.
GACGAACGCUGGCGGCGUGCUUAACACAUGCAAGUCGAACGGAAAGGCCCUGCUUUUGUGGGGUGCUCGAGUGGCGAACGGGUGAGUAACACGUGAGUAACCUGCCCUUGACUUUGGGAUAACUUCAGGAAACUGGGGCUAAUACCGGAUAGGAGCUCCUGCUGCAUGGUGGGGGUUGGAAAGUUUCGGCGGCUGGGGAUGGACUCGCGGCGUAUCAGCUUGUUGGUGGGGUAGUGGCUUACCAAGGCUUUGACGGGUAGCCGGCCUGAGAGGGUGACCGGCCACAUUGGGACUGAGAUACGGCCCAGACUCCUACGGGAGGCAGCAGUGGGGAAUAUUGCACAAUGGGCGGAAGCCUGAUGCAGCAACGCCGCGUGCGGGAUGACGGCCUUCGGGUUGUAAACCGCUUUCGCCUGUGACGAAGCGUGAGUGACGGUAAUGGGUAAAGAAGCACCGGCUAACUACGUG